CUUUGGUUUUAUUUUGACAUUAAAGGGAAUUUCAUGCUCGUUAUACAUUUAGCCCAAAGCCUACAAAUGUGCUGUCACCCAGUAUCCUGAUGGAAAAAUAUGACAUCACCCAAGUCAGGACAAUGAAGAUCAUUGCUACAUACAUUCAUAUUUGUGUUGAAAGCAGAACUCUCGAAACACUGGGAAAUGUUGCGGGCUGAUGUGAUUCAUUUUCGUAUGCAGAGCCUCGAGACUGCAGUGCAAGGCCAUCUGCGCUCAGACAGACAGGCAGACACAUGUCUCCCUUUCCAAAUUGAUUCAUGUGGCCUGUGAUACCUGCACCUUGUAGUGAUCAUUUUUAUUCCACCAUUGAGAUGUGAAGACUUAGAUUUCUCAGGCUUUAACAGGAAUUCAAUCCAAUCUAAUAACCUCUGAAAAGAAUUUUGAGGCUGUUACUCUGUUGCAGAGGUUGCAAAGAGGGAUGCACUAUUCAUAGUUUGUACAUAGAUGUAAAAACUGUGCACACCUGCUGCUGAGGAACACUGUGUAUUAGGUAGGCAUCACACCAAACAUGUUUUUGCUUCUUUGUAUAAGAUCAUAAGAACAGAUUUGGAACUAGAUUUUCCAAAAAUCUACAUAAGUUACCACAACACUCCUAUCUACUAUAUGGAAGAUAUUUAGUAUGUUGAACACGUACUUGUUAUUACUUAAGGUAAAAUAAAUCAG
Molecule: long non-coding RNA, 705 nt
Filed under: Junco hyemalis (dark-eyed junco)
Lineage: Eukaryota; Metazoa; Chordata; Aves; Passeriformes; Passerellidae
Description: lncRNA (ENSJHYG00000005659.1)
Source: RNAcentral